Molecule: non-coding RNA, 130 nt
Filed under: actinobacterium acAcidi
Lineage: Bacteria; Bacillati; Actinomycetota; Actinomycetes
Description: Actinobacterium acAcidi FMN sequence
Rfam family: FMN riboswitch aptamer (RFN element)
About the family: The RFN element is a highly conserved domain that is found frequently in the 5'-untranslated regions of prokaryotic mRNAs that encode for flavin mononucleotide (FMN) biosynthesis and transport proteins.
Source: RNAcentral
CACCCCUUGCAGGGUUUGGGUGAAAGUCCCGACCGGCGGUAUAGCCCGCGAACCCUCGUACUUCGGUGCGAGGGCCGACUCAGUGUGAUUCUGAGGCCGACGGUAAGAGUCCGGAUGGGAGCAAGGACAC